GACGAACGCUGGCGGCGUGCUUAACACAUGCAAGUCGAACGGAAAGGCCCUGCUUUUGUGGGGUGCUCGAGUGGCGAACGGGUGAGUAACACGUGAGUAACCUGCCCUUGACUUUGGGAUAACUUCAGGAAACUGGGGCUAAUACCGGAUAGGAGCUCCUGCUGCAUGGUGGGGGUUGGAAAGUUUCGGCGGUUGGGGAUGGACUCGCGGCUUAUCAGCUUGUUGGUGGGGUAGUGGCUUACCAAGGCUUUGACGGGUAGCCGGCCUGAGAGGGUGACCGGCCACAUUGGGACUAAGAUACGGCCCAGACUCCUACGGGAGGCAGCAGUGGGGAAUAUUGCACAAUGGGCGGAAGCCUGAUGCAGCAACGCCGCGUGCGGGAUGACGGCCUUCGGGUUGUAAACCGCUUUCGCCUGUGACGAAGCGUGAGUGACGGUAAUUGGUAAAGAAGCACCGGCUAACUACGU
RNAcentral lists this ribosomal RNA (467 nucleotides) under uncultured bacterium. RNAcentral describes it as "partial 16S ribosomal RNA". It matches the Rfam family "Bacterial small subunit ribosomal RNA", at positions 28 to 506 of the family's 1533-position model. The record is from RNAcentral.